This 1651-nucleotide long non-coding RNA is filed under the name Fragaria vesca (wild strawberry). RNAcentral's name for it is "long non-coding RNA (FVES_LNC003344)". Lineage: Eukaryota; Viridiplantae; Streptophyta; Magnoliopsida; Rosales; Rosaceae. The record is from RNAcentral.
AUAAAUUGUCUAUUUUUCUUUUAGAACUCUUACACAAUGAGUUUUAUGUCACAUUCUAUAUGAAUAAAGCAAUAUCAGUAUGUAUAAGCUCUGUAGUUCUACAUCCUAUUCAAAUGUGUCAAAUGCUAGUAGUUGAUCAUAUAUUGAAAUUUGUAUAUCAUCUAUAUCAAUUGAUUAACAUGUUGCUGGUUAACAAAAGUGUACAGAACCCUUUAGUGUUUUCCUCUGCCUUUUUAGUAAUUGUAACAUGGUCUAUCAGCCAAAUAAAAUUAGUCAAUUGUUGUCAUUCAAUACCAGAAACACAAACUAGUUUUGUUAGUAUGUGUCUAAUAUACAAGUUCAUCUGUCCAAACUAAUGUUCCCUCUUUCGCAUGUAUUUGCAUAUGCACUGUUUCUCCAGCAAAUUAAUGUCUAAUGCUCUCUUUCUUUGAUGUUUUGGGGGUUCUCAUUUUGGUUUCAAAGCCAAAUUCCUCAGCACCCUUCUCCAGCAAACCAACGAAGACCAGGAGGUUGACGAACCAGGCGGGAAUGACAAAGAGCCUGCGGAGGAGUCAGAGGGAUUGAUGAGUCAAGGCGAGGGAGAAUCGUUUGGAUUUGAACAGUUACAUGAUUAGUUACAUGAACAGUUACAUAGUCAGUUACGUUGCUUUCAAUAGUUACUUGACUAGUUACAUAUUAUCAUUUGGAUUGUGUAAUUAUUAUGUGUACCUGACUUGUGUAACUACAUUAAACUACAUAUAUAACUAUCCAUGUAACUAUAGAUGGUCAGCUACAUUUGCAUUUAUUAGUUACAUGUCCAGUUACUUUUGCAUUUGAGUAUGUUGUUAUGGCCAAGAAGCAUAAAGUGUCUGUCGCGGUUCAACAACAUGUUAAAAGCAGCGGAACGUUGCCGUCGCGGUGCAGCGGCACGCUGCAAUUAUUAUUUGCUUGACUUAUAUAACUAUCUAUGUAACUAUCUAUGUAACUGUCCACGUAACCAUGUAACUGUCCGCGGUACCAUGUAACUAUCCAUGUAACUAUCCAUUUAACUAUCCACGUAACUAUAUAACUAUGCAUGUAACUAUGUAUGUAAUUAUCCAUAUAUGUAACUAUCUAUGUAACUAUCCAUGUAACUAUUCAUCUAUGUAACUAUGUAACUAUCCAUGUAACUAUCCAUAUAACUAUUCAUAUAUGUAACUAUCUAUGUAACUAUGCAUGUAACUACCCAUAUAACUAUCUAUGUAACUAUGUAUGUAACUAUCCAUAUAACUACAGAUUGAUAGUUAUAUACAUGCUACACUUGUGUAACUACAUUAACCUGCCUAUAUAACUAUCCAUCUAUAUAAUUAUUCAUGUAACUAUCCACGUAACUAUAUAUGUAACUAUCCAUCUAUGUAACUAUGCAUGUAACUAUCCAUUUAACUAUUCAUCUAUGUAACUAUGUAACUAUCCAUGUAACUAUCCAUAUAACUAUUCAUAUAUGUAACUAUCUAUGUAACUACCCAUGUAACUAUCUAUGUAACUACCCAUGUAACUAUGUAUGUAACUAUCCAUAUAACUACAGAUUAAUAGUUAUAUAUAUGCUACACUUGUGUAACUACAUUAACCUGCCUAUAUAACUAUCCAUCUAUAUAAUUAUUCAUGUAACUAUCCACGUAACUAUAUAUGUAAC